CGCCUUUCGAUAAAUAAACAUGAAAGGUCCUGCCUGCCCAGUGAUAAAUAUUCAACGGCCGCGGUAUUAUGACCGUGCAAAGGUAGCAUAAUCAUUUGUCUUCUAAAUCAAGACCAGUAUGAAUGGCAAAACGAAAGCUUAACUGUCUCCUUAAGUUAGUCAAUGAAAUUGAUUUUCCCGUGCAGAAGCGGGAAUGUAUAUAUAAGACAAAAAGACCCUGUGGAGCUUUAAAAUAAUGUUAUAUAAAGAUUUUACAAUAACAUUAAGUUUUAGGUUGGGGCGACCGUGAGGUAAAGUAAAACCCUCGAGAAAAUAAUUAGAAAGACACUUCAAAUAAAAUAAAAUAUAUAUAUGACCCAUUAAUGAUCAACGAACCAAGUUACCCCAGGGAUAACAGCGCAAUCCUUUCUUAAAGUCCAUAUUAACGAAUGGGUUUACGACCUCGAUGUUGGAUCAGGACCCCCUAAUGGUGCAACAACUAUUAAAGGUUCGUUUGUUCAACGAUUAAAGUCCU
Molecule: ribosomal RNA, 514 nt
Filed under: Chiropterotriton dimidiatus (dwarf splayfoot salamander)
Lineage: Eukaryota; Metazoa; Chordata; Amphibia; Caudata; Plethodontidae
Description: partial 16S large subunit ribosomal RNA
Rfam family: Bacterial large subunit ribosomal RNA
Source: RNAcentral